This 7589-nucleotide long non-coding RNA is filed under the name Brassica napus (rape). RNAcentral's name for it is "long non-coding RNA (BNAP_LNC019535)". Lineage: Eukaryota; Viridiplantae; Streptophyta; Magnoliopsida; Brassicales; Brassicaceae. The record is from RNAcentral.
CAAAACGCCGCCUAAAUCCUUCUCCUUCUCCAUUUCCAAUCCUCUCAAACCCCUAACCCCCAAAUCUCCAUCCCUCCGCUUUCCACCUCGCAACAAUCAUCACCACCACCGUUUAUCCGUAAACGCCGCCGUAUCACCACCGCCUUCAGACACACCUUCGCCGGAUUAUAGAUUCGAGAUCCUCUCCGAGUCCCUACCCUUCAUCCAAAAAUUCCGAGGCAAAACCAUCGUCGUCAAAUACGGCGGCGCGGCCAUGACUUCGCCGGAGCUAAAAGCCUCCGUCGUCACCGACCUCGUCCUCCUCGCGUGCGUCGGUCUCCGCCCCAUCCUCGUCCACGGCGGAGGUCCCGACAUCAACCGCUACCUCAAACAGCUUAACAUCCCGGCCGAGUUCCGCGACGGACUCCGCGUCACCGACGCCACGACGAUGGAGAUCGUCUCGAUGGUUCUCGUCGGAAAAGUGAACAAGAAUCUCGUUUCUUUAAUAAACGCCGCCGGAGCCACCGCUGUUGGGCUGUCCGGACACGACGGUCGUCUUAUCACCGCGCGGCCUGUUCCUAACUCGGAUCAGUUAGGUUUUGUCGGAGAAGUCGCGAGGGUUGAUCCGAGCGUGUUGCGUCCCUUAGUAGAAUCCGGUUACAUUCCGGUGAUUGCCUCUGUGGCUGCGGAUGAAGCUGGUCAGGCUUAUAACAUCAAUGCGGAUACGGUGGCGGGGGAGCUCGCGGCGGCGCUUGGAGCUGAGAAGCUGAUUCUGUUGACUGAUGUGGCGGGGAUCUUGGAGGAUAGAGAGGAUGUGGGGAGCUUGGUGAAGGAGAUUGAUAUAAAGGGAGUGAAGAGGAUGAUUGAUGAUGGGAAAGUUGGUGGUGGGAUGAUUCCUAAGGUGAAGUGCUGUAUAAGGUCACUUGCUCAGGGAGUGAAGACGGCGAGUAUUAUCGAUGGGAGGAGGCAGCAUUCUUUGCUUCAUGAGAUCAUGUCUGAUGAAGGAGCUGGAACUAUGAUUACUGGAUGAAAUGUGAUGUUAUAGGUGAUCCAUGGUUUUGUAUUUGAGAAUGCCAAUGCCUGUGUGUAGGCAAGAUACAUUCAUGAUCGCUGCUUAUGAGUCUUAGAAAGACAAUUUUUUUGGCAGCUCUUGUGGUUUGCAUUUGCAACUUCGUUGUUUCUGAUUUCUAAUGAUUAUCAUUGGUCUUGAAAAGUUAUAAAUUUUUGAAGACAAUAAGCUGUUCUAAGGAUAGGUGUUUGAGUACCUGUUGCUUAGCUCUGUUCUGUUUCUAUAUAUGUCAACCUAUGUUCUAUCUGAUUCAAUCAAAUAAACACUUUUGGCAUAUCAGUUCAGUUAACAAAGACGGUUGAUCUUUUUUGCCAUUACAGAUCCAAGUUAACUGUAAAGUAUAAAUGAAAUCUUAUGUAUUUCCCUUGAUCAUAAACGUACACGAUACAAUUGUUAUAUACAUCACGUUUGAGUAUCUGUUCCACUAUCGUAGGGAUAUUCUCUAACUAUCCAAGAAUAUAGGAGAUUUAGUUGACAUAUUCUUAUACUCCCCCUCAGUCUAAUCGUUGGGAGCUCGAACGGAUAGACUGUGUUUGAAGUCAUUGAAGAGUGAGCUUGGUAAGCCUUUUGUGAAUAUAUCUGCGAAUUGUGAAGACGAAGGAACGUGAAGCACCCGCACUUGGCCCAUCGCAACUUUCUCACGGACAAAGUGUAUAUCUAUUUCGACAUGUUUCGUUCGUUGGUGCUUCACAGGAUUGGUGGAUAGGUAGACAGCACUAAUGUUGUCACAAUAAACUAGUGUCGCAGCUUUUAUUGGACACUUGAGCUCCAGGAGGAGGUUUUGUACCCAACACGUUUCUGCAACUGCAUUCGCCACUCCCUUGUACUCUGCUUCAGCGCUGGACCGAGAUACUGUGGGUUGACGUUUUGAUGACCAGGAGACCAGGUUGUCGCCGAGGAAGAUGCAGUAACCUGAUGUCGAACGGCGUGUGUUUGGACACCCGGCCCAGUCGGCAUCAGUAUACGCUGUAAGCGUUGAGGAAGUGCUUCUGUAGAGUUGUAGGCCAUGCGUGAGGGUUCCUUGGAGAUAGCGCAAUACUCUUUUGAGUGCUUGGAAAUGAGGGACUCGCGGAUCAUGCAUGAAAAGACAAAGUUGCUGGACUGCAUACUGGAUGUCUGGGCGAGUCAGGGUUAGGUAUUGUAGAGCGCCUGCGAGGCUUCGGUAUAAGGUCGGGUCGUCGAUUGGGGCGCCUUCGUCACUUGAGAGCUUCGCUUUUAGAUCUACAGGGGUAGAGAUGGGGUUGCAGUUCUCCAUUGAUGCACGUGUUAGAAUCUCUUUUGCGUAUGCUGAUUGAGAGAGCAUCAUUCCUUUGGUGUUAUAGUCUACUUUGAUGCCGAGGAAAUAUUUGAGGAGGCCUUCUUCUGACAUCUCAAAUUCUUGUUUGAGGAGCGAAGUGAUCUUGUUUCUUAACGAUGGUGAUGAAGCCGUAAUGAGAAUGUCGUCGACGUAGAGUAAUAGGAAAGCUUGCUGAUCACCUUUGUCGUAGACGAAGAGAGAUGUAUCACUAUUGCUCUUCUGGAAGCCGAUACCUGAAACAAAAGAGGAGAAACGAGCAUUCCAUGCCCUCGGAGCCUGUUUGAGGCCAUAGAGUGCCUUCUCCAACUUACAGACGUGGUGAGGGUUUGUUUCAUUCUUCAUACCUGGCGGCUGAUGCAUGUAAACCGGUUCGUCGAGGGUGCCAUGGAGGAAGGCAUUCUUGACGUCAAGAUGAUGUACUUCCCAGUUGCGUUGAAGGGCCAGAUGAAGAACGGUACGUAUCGUUACGGGCUUGACCACAGGGCUGAAGGUUUCGUCAUAGUCAAGCCCUUGUUCCUGAGACUUCCCAUUAGCCACGAGGCGAGCUUUGUGGCGAACUGGAUUGCCAUCUGCAUCAAGUUUGUACUUAUACAACCACAUGGAACGAACUAUGUUAGUGUCAGGUGGUUUAGGCACCAAUUUAAACGUCUCAUUCUUAAUCAAUGCAUCGUACUCUACAGUCAUGGCAGGGUUCCAGUUCGGAUCUUUAAGAGCUUGAAGGUGGGUAUUUGGAAUUGGUGAAACUGUGGUGUGGAGGGAAAGAACAGAUUUUUGUUUGCGGGUUCCGUCCCUACUCCGUGUUGUCAUAGGAUGACGUGUUGGAGGAGGUAAGGAGUGGACCGGAGCCGGCUGAUUUACAGCAGGCGGUAUGGUCGGGCCAGAAAGAGAAUGGGCCGGCACCAUCGGUUUUUGAAGAAUCUGUUUGAAAACAGGGGAAGUUUCAGUGUUUUCAAGGAAGGUAUAAGUGUUUUUGGCUGGAGUAGAAUGUGUUUGGGCUGAGGGAAAAAUGGUCUCGUCGAAAAUGACGUGACGGGAGAUGAUGAUUUUUCUUGUUUUGAGGUCUAAGCAGCGAUAUCCUUUAUGGUUUGUAGGAUAGCCAAGAAAGACACAUGGUGUGGAGCGGGCAGCAAGUUUAUGAAGGUGAGAGUGGUUUAUGUUUGGGAAGCAGAGGCACCCGAAGGUGCGUAGGUGGGAGUAGGUAGGUUUUUUUUGGUAUAGGAGAGAGUAAGGUGUUUUGUUUUGAAUGGUAGAGGAAGGGAGAAUGUUGAGAAGAUGAACAGCGGUGUGUAAGGCCUCUAUCCAAUAUGAUGGAGCCAGACGCGCUUGAAAGAGGAGAGUUCGAAUGGUGUUGUUGAUUGUUCGUAUCAUUCUCUCAGAACGGCCAUUCUGUUGAGAGGUGUGAGGACACGAAAAUCUUGCAACGAUUCCAUUUGAAGAGAAGUAGUUGUGGAAUUGGGCAUUGUUGAACUCGCCUCCGUUGUCGCAUUGGAAUGAUUGAAUAGUUAUUUUGAAUUGUGUCUUGACAUACGCCGAGAAAUGAGUGAAUUUAGAAAAGACCUCGGAUUUGUAUCUGAGAGGAUAAACCCACAAGAAAUGUGAAAAAAAAAAAAAAAAAAAAAAAGAUGCAAAAGGGAGAAGUGUGGACUUUAGAUGGUACAUGGCCGAGAACAGGACCUGUAUACAAGCUGCUCGGACCUCAUGCGCAGGGCCAGCCCAUAGGGUAGGCCACAUAAGCCAUUGCUUAGGGCCCAUGGAAAAUAUUUCAAAAUUGUACAUACAAUUUUUCAUUAUUUGUAUUUUUUCCUAUAUUAGCUUAGGGCCCUGCAUGAGAUUUUCAAUUAAUGGACCGGGCCUGCUCAUGCGUAGAUAUGAACUGCACCAGAUUCAGUAAAACAAGUUACAAAUAGAUUUAACCGAAUCUGAAAUGAGUGUAAGCAGUCAAAUGUACCUUGAGGGAAUGAAAUGCGGAAGAGCUUUUCGAGCUAAAGUAUUCUUGGCAGAUUCAAGGAGCUUUUGAUGACAAGCAUGCACUAUAAGAACGUUUGCCAUGCAUAGACGAAAUGGAAUAUGAAGGGGCUUUUACCAAAUUGAGUGUUCAGUCACUACAAGAACAGCUGAUUCCUGAUGGAGGGGUUGUUCGUUUCAGCAUCUUUCAUCUCUAUCCAGAUGAUUCAUUUGUAUGAUCUAUCCAGAUGAUUCAUUUGUAUAAUCUAUCCAGAUUUGAAUGAUCUAUCCAGGUAAUCUAUUCAGAUUUUUGUGACCGUUUGUUUGUCCAUCCAGAUAGCUCAUCUUGAUGAAUCAUCUAAAUGGAUUUUAUGUUUGUUUCUUUAUUUUCAUUUCCAUCCAAAUGAGUUUAGUAAACAAAUUACCAAAAUACCCUCGUGUUGAUUUAAUCAUAUGUUAAAAUUUUACUACAAUAAUAACUUCUAAUAAAUAAAAAAAUAGAUAAACAUGUAUUAAAAAAAAACUUUAGAGUUUCAAACUAAAAAUAGUAUUAAUAACAAACCGAUUGUAAAUUCGGUUUUGGCGGAAAAUGAGAUUUUUCGGUUUUGGCGGGAAAAUACAAUUUUUGGUUUUGGCGAGAAAACGCGUUUUUGCGCUUUUGGCGGAAAAAUACGUUUUGGCCGGGAAAACGAAUUUUUGAGGUUUUGGCGGGAAAACACGAAUUUUCUGUUUUGGCGGGAAACACAUUUUUCAGUUUUGGCAGGAAAAUGAGAUUUUUCGGUUUUGGCGAGAAAAAUACAAUUUUCGGUUUUGGCGAGAAAACAUGUUUGUGGUUUUGGUGGGAAAACGGGUUUUGCGGUUUUGCGGCGGUUUUGCGGAAAACAAGAUUUUCGGUUAUGGCGGGAAAACACAUUUUUCGGUUUUGGCGGGAAAACAAAUUUUUUUGGUUUUGGCGGGAAAAAAAGUUUUUUUUGGUUUUGGCAAGAACAUAACAAUUUUCGGUUUUGGCGAGAACACAUGUUUUACGGUUUUGGCGGGAAAACGCGUUUUUGCGAUUUUGGCGUGAAAAAACAUUUUUGUAGUUAUGGCAUGAAAACGCAUUUUCGGGUUUUGCGGAAAAUGCAUUUUGGCGGAAAAUACAUUUUGGCGGGUUUCGCGGGAAAAUGCGUUUUGGCGGGAAAACACGUUUUUACGGGAAAAUGCGUUUUGGCGGGAAAACACGUUUUUACGGGAAAAUGCGUUUUGGCGGGAAAACACGUUUUUACGGGAAAAUGCGUUUUGGCGGGAAAACACGUUUUUACGGGAAAAUGCGUUUUGGCGGGAAAACAUGUUUUGCGGUUUUCACGAGAAAACGCGUUUUGCAGUUUUGGCAGGAAAUGCAUUUUGAUGAGAAAACGCAUUUUCGGUUUUGGCGGAAAAAAAUGUUUUUGUGUUUUGGCGGAAAAAUGUGUUUUGGAGUUUUGGCGUGAAAACGCGUUUUUGUGGUUUUGGCAUGAAAACACAUUUUUGCGAUUUUUUUGCGGGAAAACACGUUUUGUAAUUUUGGCGGGAAAACACGUUUUUGCAAUUUUGUCCGGAAAUGCGUUUUUAGGGUUUUGGCGUGAAAAUUUUGUUUUUAGGUUUUCGCGGGAAAAUGCGUUUUUGUGGUUUUGUCAGUUUUCAUGUCCGGAAAUGCGAUUUUUAGGUUUGUAAUUUGUGAAUUACAUCAAGGGAAUAAUAGACAUUAUACCAUAUUGAAUGAAUCAUCUCCAUUCAAAUGGUCCAAAUUGGUUCAGCUGAAUGGACUUUAAAACUAAGCCUAAAUUUCCGAAAGUCAUCCGGCUGGAUGAGUUGCACUUUUAGUUACUAAACGAACAAAACUUUCAUCUCCACACAGAUGACUCAUUCGGAUGGAGAAACAAACAGGCCGUACUCGCUGGAAAUCCGUCGAACUAUUUUCUACAAAUUUCUGACAAAAAUCCUCGGAUUUAUUUUGCUGAAAAUUCUUUAAUUUCGUCAGAAAUUCAUAGGAUUUUUUUGAUUGAUUCCUGAAUAUUUUUCAAAGAAUUUUCUAUGAUAUACAUGGGUCGUCAGAAUUUCCUCUCUGGAAUUCGUCAGAAAAUCUCCAAUAAUACUUAGAAAUAGAGUUUUACGUAAAAUAUUAAUAUAUUUAGUUUUGCAAUAACCCAAUAUCCUAACAAUGCUAUUUGGAAAUUGAAUUAUCCCAAAAACCAGAAUUAUGAAAAUAUUUUGUUAUACAAAAUAUUUCAAAUAUUCAAGUUACCAGAUGUUUUAUUUGGAAGCCGAAUUACCUGAUAUUUUAUCUAGAAGUUGAAUUACCCGAUAUUUUUAUUUGAAAAAUCUGAAUUAUCCAUAAAAUUGAUCUAAAUUUACAAAAGUACAUGAAAUACCAGAACUAAAUUGGACCCAAAAAAAUACUUGGAUACUAGUCAGUUUUCAACUUUAUUAUCAGAACCAAAACCAAAAUAACUGAACCAAAUUUCAUAAAUAACCAAACGAAAUUUAUAUCUUUAAAGCUAAAAAACCGAAAACGAAAUGCUCGUGGCUACUCCAGAUUCAUAUAAUUUCUAUAUUAUAUCAGAAUAAACAUGAAAUUAUAUGUUAAGGUAGUUUAUAUUUAAAUUUUGAAUACUUUUAGAUACUAAUUCGGAUAAUCAGAUCAAACUAUUUCAAAAGUUUUUCGAAAAAGUUCUUUGGAUAGCCGUUCAUAAUCUUCAGAUUCAUAUCAUGUUGAGACCAAAAUAACGCGUCUGACCUAGUUACAUGAUGUUCAAUUUUGAUAUUUUUACUGUUUGAAUUGGGUACCGAUUGAAGUCUUUGGUUCGCAUCUCAGAUUUAGGACAGAGUCUUUGAGUUUAAAUUCCAGGUCGACAGUAACUAUUGGUUCAUUACUGUUUGCCUGCGACAUACACCGCUGAAGAUUUUAACUAAUUUGUAACUAAACCUGAGAGACUCUCUCGCUUCAGUAUUAUCUCCGCCGCCUACUCCGGUAGGAUUCACUCAGAUAUGGCCACCGUCACAUCCAAAACGCCGCCUAAAUCCUUCUCCUUCUCCAUUUCCAAUCCUCUCAAACCCCUAACCCCCAAAUCUCCAUCCCUCCGCUUUCCACCUCGCAACAAUCAUCACCACCACCGUUUAUCCGUAAACGCCGCCGUAUCACCACCGCCUUCAGACACACCUUCGCCGGAUUAUAGAUUCGAGAUCCUCUCCGAGUCCCUACCCUUCAUCCAAAAAUUCCGAGGCAAAACCAUCGUCGUCAAAUACGGCGGCGCGGCCAUGACUUCGCCGGAGCUAAAAGCC